GACGAACGCUGGCGGCGUGCCUAACACAUGCAAGUCGAGCGGAGUCGAUCGACGGAAGCCUUCGGGCGGAAGAUGGUUGACUUAGCGGCGGAUGGGUGAGUAACGCGUGGGCAACCUGCCUCGAAGACCGGGAUAACAGCCCGAAAGGGCUGCUAAUACCGGAUGUGGUCAAGGAUCCGCAUGGAUUUUUGAUUAAAGGGGAAACCCGUUUCGAGAUGGGCCCGCGUCCUAUCAGCUAGUUGGUGAGGUAAAAGCUCACCAAGGCGACGACGGGUAGCCGGCCUGAGAGGGUGACCGGCCACACUGGAACUGAGACACGGUCCAGACUCCUACGGGGGGCAGCAGUGGGGAAUUUUCCACAAUGGGCGAAAGCCUGAUGGAGCGACGCCGCGUGAGCGAAGAAGGCCUUCGGGUUGUAAAGCUCUGUCUGGAGGGACGAAGGAAGUGACGGUACCUCCGGAGGAAGCCACGGCUAACUACGUGCCAGCAGCCGCGGUAAGAUCACGUGUA
RNAcentral lists this ribosomal RNA (510 nucleotides) under uncultured bacterium. RNAcentral describes it as "bacterial SSU rRNA". It matches the Rfam family "Bacterial small subunit ribosomal RNA", at positions 28 to 531 of the family's 1533-position model. The record is from RNAcentral.